Molecule: ribosomal RNA, 513 nt
Filed under: bacterium A5T_VP6_C9
Lineage: Bacteria
Description: bacterial SSU rRNA
Rfam family: Bacterial small subunit ribosomal RNA
Source: RNAcentral
UCCUACGGGAGGCACCAGUGGGGAAUCUUGGACAAUGGGGGCAACCCUGAUCCAGCCAUGCCGCGUGAGUGAUGAAGGCCUUAGGGUCGUAAAGCUCUUUCGCCUGUGAAGAUAAUGACGGUAUCAGGUAAAGAAACCCCGGCUAACUCCGUGCCACCAGCCGUGGUAAUACGGAGGGGGUUAGCGUUGUUCGGAAUUACUGGGCGUAAAGCGCACGUAGGCGGAUCGGAAAGUUGGGGGUGAAAUCCCGGGGCUCAACCCCGGAACUGCCUCCAAAACUAUCGGUCUAGAGUUCGACACAGGUGAGUGGAAUUCCAAGUGUACAGGUGAAAUUCAUAUAUAUUCGGAGGAACACCGGUGGAAAAGGCGGCUCACUGGCUCAAUACUGACACUGAGGUGGGAAAGUGUGGGGAGCAAACAGGAUUAGAUACCCUGGUAGCCCCCACCGUAAACAAUGAAGGCCAGUCGCCGGGUAACAUGUUAUUCGGUGACCACCCCUACGGAUAAACCAUU